RNAcentral lists this small nuclear RNA (119 nucleotides) under Fukomys damarensis (Damara mole-rat). RNAcentral describes it as "U2 spliceosomal RNA". It matches the Rfam family "U2 spliceosomal RNA". From Rfam's summary of the family: U2 is a small nuclear RNA (snRNA) component of the spliceosome (involved in pre-mRNA splicing). Complementary binding between U2 snRNA (in an area lying towards the 5' end but 3' to hairpin I) and the branchpoint sequence (BPS) of the intron results the bulging out of an unpaired adenosine, on the BPS, which initiates a nucleophilic attack at the intronic 5' splice site, thus starting the first of two transesterification reactions that mediate splicing. Lineage: Eukaryota; Metazoa; Chordata; Mammalia; Rodentia; Bathyergidae. The record is from Rfam by way of RNAcentral.
AUCGCUUCUCAGCCUUUUGGCAAAGAUCAAGUGUAGUAUCUGUUCUUAUCAGUUUAACAACCAAAUUCAAUAGUGUAGCAUAAUGCAAACUUAACAUUCAAAAAUCAGUGGCAUUCAUA